AUGGCAUAUUCCCCCGAGCUACUUCCUGAUGACGAUGCUUGGAGCAACGACAUGUACAAGGCUGCCAAGAAAGACGCCGAGCGUGUCCUCUCCGGCUACGUCACCAAGCCAACACCUGAGCUGCAAUACCGACACUUGGUCGAGUUGCUGGGUGCGAGAUCAAAGCAUGAGGUGCUCAAGGACGGUGCAAAGCUUGGCGAGCAACUGGCGGAGUCGAUGCUUGGAGAGGAGGUAGGGUGGGAGGCUCUGGCCGAAUUUUGGUGCAAGAUGCCGAUGUACAUUGCUCCAUCGGAUAACCUCGACGGGCACGCGGAGGCGAUCGCCCGGGGCGGCGAGCUGGUAACGCUCCUGUGGGCGCUGCUCACCCAUUUGGGGGUUGUCAGUAGGCCUGAGGCCACCUCCACUACCAAUACUACUACUACCACCACGGGUGCUUCUGAUGUCGUUUAA
RNAcentral lists this ribosomal RNA (450 nucleotides) under Triticum aestivum (bread wheat). Its description in RNAcentral is "partial small subunit ribosomal RNA". The record is from RNAcentral. Lineage: Eukaryota; Viridiplantae; Streptophyta; Magnoliopsida; Poales; Poaceae.